CAGAGUCAUGGAGUGGCUGGAUGUUUCCUUUUCGGAAGAGGUAGUAACAACAACAACAAAAGAUGACCCGAAGCGCACAGUCGACAUGCCCUGACAACUGGCAUCCGCUGAGGAGAAGGGGAAGGGAAUCGUUCCAGUGAUGAUUACUAUGAAGAUGCAGCGGAAAAAGAAGAUCAAUACACUUAUGAGAUACCUACUGUUGCAUUCAACUGACACCCACAGAAACGUUACGAACUUGAUCUUAUUUCAUGCAGUCCAAUAAAUGAGGCUUCUUAUCGAGUUCUUCUACCACAUAUGGUGGCACGCAUUUUUGUAUUGACAGAGAAUUUAAAUCAAUAAAAACAACAAUAUA
This is a long non-coding RNA of Dreissena polymorpha, 352 nucleotides long. RefSeq lists it as uncharacterized. The transcript has 2 exons. Lineage: Eukaryota; Metazoa; Mollusca; Bivalvia; Myida; Dreissenidae. The record is from RefSeq and is a predicted model, not a curated record.